GAGGGUAUAGCUCAGUGAGAGAGUGCAUGCUUAGCAUGCACAAGGUCCUUGGUUCAAUCCCCAGUAUCUCCA
RNAcentral lists this transfer RNA (72 nucleotides) under Camelus bactrianus (Bactrian camel). It matches the Rfam family "tRNA". From Rfam's summary of the family: Transfer RNA (tRNA) molecules are approximately 80 nucleotides in length. Their secondary structure includes four short double-helical elements and three loops (D, anti-codon, and T loops). The record is from Rfam by way of RNAcentral. Lineage: Eukaryota; Metazoa; Chordata; Mammalia; Artiodactyla; Camelidae. RNAcentral also lists the same sequence under 3 other names.